AUAGACCUAAAUUCAGUGACCAUUGGAACAAUUAACUCACCAAAUACCUGAUUCUCCUCCACCGCUACUUCCCCCUCCUCCACCCCAAACCCAUUUAGCAACAACCAAUCGCCCCUUUCCCUAAUACCACCAUCACAUGGUGGCAUCAGAGGCGCAGCGUUGCCUUUCACAACUGCAACACUGCGCCUCUGCACACGGAGGCACAACUCUAAAGCUGCGCGAGGUAGCUCCACAAGCUGAGUUGAGGUGGCGCUGUACCUCUACAGGUUUUUCGAUGAAAAAGGACACCGUAGAUGUUAGGACUAGGUUCAACCUGGCGAAUUGCCUUCGUUCACAACAAAUGACUGUCGCCACUUCACGCUCCUGUAUUGUAUAUGAGAUCCGAAAGUCAAAAUUGGGUCCAUAAUCUCAAAUAUGAACAAUAUUUUGUCCAAAGUCGAUGCUCAGAUUUGUGUGUGUCGUUCAGUUCGUGUCGUUGCAGACAGUUCAUCGUCUGAAGUGAAACGGUCGGUAGUUGUGGGUUGUUAGGGUUGUGUCUGUGUCAAUGUUGUUGGCCGUGGGGCUGUGUUGGUGACGAUAACAUUGUUACACUGUGUUCGUGGUGGUUGCAAGUGGUCGUUGUGGUAGCAUUGGUAGUGGUGGCACGAGCAACUAUUUGGUUAAUCUGUAAUCAACUAUUUGGUUAUUAGUGACCAAUUAUUUAAUUGCAACUUGAGAAUUCGAUAAUUUGUGAGUGAAAAAUAAUUUGUGAC
This 752-nucleotide long non-coding RNA is filed under the name Olea europaea (common olive). Its description in RNAcentral is "long non-coding RNA (OEUR_LNC005764)". Lineage: Eukaryota; Viridiplantae; Streptophyta; Magnoliopsida; Lamiales; Oleaceae. The record is from RNAcentral.